AGCAGUUAACAAUAUUGAGCAUUUUUUGGGAGAAAAAAUAAGUUACAAACCUUCAAACCCUUAUGAGUUGUACGUAUUAUAUAGUAGUGUAUAUAUUAGUUAGAUUUAAAAGGUUUAAUGCUAUCUUUUACUAGUAUUUUUAAUUUGAGAUUUUUAUGCUUGAUUUGUUUGGCUGAGGUCUGUCAUAUAUAUUUUGCUCAAUCAUCGGAGAGCUAUGAGUUGGCAGAAGAAGCUUGUUCACCUCUGACUGGCUUCGUUGAAUUGCCUACUUGCCAUGUUUGUCUUGGUUAGUAUAUAUAAAUUUAUAAUUGCUAGUUUGUUUAGUAGUGAUUUGUGCAUUCUUGAUGGUGCAUUUGGGGUUUACUUUGAUUUUGGGGGUUAAAAAACUGGUGAGUUGUAGUUUUUGAUGUGUCCCCGGAGUGAGGAUUACUUGUAUUCAGUAUGUCCUUAAAAUUUUCAAUGGCAUUCUAUUCUAGCAUUUGGACACUUUCCAUUAAUUUUGUUAAAAUCUGGUAGGUUCUUAAAUUUCUCAAUGACAUUCUUUAGUGACAUUUGGCCACUGCCCACAAAUUUUGGUCUAUUUUUCAAGGUAUUCCAGAUGCAGCAGAAGUUGCAGUGCCAGUGGCUCAUUUGCUUGCAAAUCAGGCAACUCCUGAGGGGGUUGAAACACGUGCAGCAGUAGCUGCAUCCAUCUUUGGAGCACCUAAUUCAUCUCCAUUGAAUUUGUUUCCUCAGGUCCAGCAUUCUUAUAAUUGAGUUUAACCUGCAUUUCUUUUCCUUCUAUAUCUUUCUUAUAUUGUUUAAACUGAAAUAUCAUGAAACAAUUUCUGGUGGUGAUGGUAGUGGUGGACUUGGUCCCCUUGAUUUCCUUAGAAACAGCCAACAGAUAUUUCUGGAGUAGGAGUUUGCUUCUUGUGGAUUUCAUGCCUGUGAAGAAUGCCACUAAUUUUUGUUUUUGUACCACGGAGAAUGUUGAGAAAAACUUUUAAUUUUGAUUUUUGUUAUUUUGAAUUAUGAAUAACAUUAUGUAUUUAAAUAUUAUAUAUGUAUUAUGGAACAUUAUGUAC
Molecule: non-coding RNA, 1067 nt
Organism: Camellia sinensis
Lineage: Eukaryota; Viridiplantae; Streptophyta; Magnoliopsida; Ericales; Theaceae
Source: RefSeq, a predicted model, not a curated record